UUUAAAGCAGGCAUUGAGCAAGUACAAGUAUGCAGACAUAGUAAAUAGAGAUGUAACAUAUGUCAUGAAUUGGUUUAAAGAUCUCCAACCAUCACAAGAGUGUUUUAUUUUCCAUGAUGGCACAAGAAAAAAGCUGCUUAAUUUGAAUGGAACGAUUCCUGUCCAACACAAAG
Long non-coding RNA from Saccostrea cuccullata (small rock oyster), 173 nucleotides. RefSeq lists it as uncharacterized. The record is from RefSeq and is a predicted model, not a curated record. The transcript is spliced from 3 exons. NCBI's taxonomy places the organism in Eukaryota, Metazoa, Mollusca, Bivalvia, Ostreida, Ostreidae.